This is a non-coding RNA of Ictidomys tridecemlineatus (thirteen-lined ground squirrel), 564 nucleotides long. NCBI's taxonomy places the organism in Eukaryota, Metazoa, Chordata, Mammalia, Rodentia, Sciuridae. The record is from RefSeq and is a predicted model, not a curated record.
CCCCUUGCUCUGCUGCCAUCACCCUCUGAGACCUCCUGGAGCGUGCCGGGCCAUGUCCCCAGAGUCUGGCAUGACUGACCUCACUGCAGGUGACCUCACUCUGCCACGGGCUGCGUCCGUCGACGUUCAGACAUGGAACAUCUCGAGUCCCGCCAUGCAUUCAACACACCUCACCAGGGACGUCACCGCCCAGCCACACACAUGCUGCCGAGAUGGCGGUUUCCCCGUGUGACCCCGGACCUGCCACCAGGUGUCCACCAGGUGUCCAACCCCGGGAAAGAUCAGCUUCAAAAUUCAAAGUGUGGUUUCUUGUGAAUACGUAUUGCUUUUGCACCAUUUUAAUCCACAGAAGCAUGAGCCCGGCAGGUUCAUACAGCUGUUACACGGGGUAGUGAUGUUCCUUUUUAGUGGCAUUGCUGGGAGUGAGCUAAUCCAGGAGUGACUAGCUGUGCUGGAGAGGCCCAGAGUCCCGAGGGACCGUGGGGAGCAGGGAGGUGCCAGAAGCCAGCCCGCUGGACGGAGGCUAAUGAACUUGAGCUCCUCCCGCCUCCCAAGCCACUGGGU